GGAACUCGACCUGGCCCGUCAUCUGCUCUCUGUGUAAAUUACUCCAUAUCCCUGGCCUCACCUGAUUCUCUGUAAAACUUGAAUUAUUUGACUCGGCUGCUGUGGAGAGUAAACAGUAAUGUAUAUGCACCCCGUGUGUUCAGCUGAACCACAGCACAUUGCCCCCAGGUGACUGUUUUUGUCUUGCAGGGACAGCAGUGUCACGCUGUUCAGUUUCCUCGUCCUCAUUCAAUCAUCAGUAGUUACCGGAUUACCUUAAAGAUGGGUGCCGUUGCUGUCACUGAAAGUAGCUCACAGGGAGUGGACCAAGUGCUUUCACACACGGAUUGUUUUAUUGACCCCGCCAGAACGCUGGGUGUGGAGCCUUUUACGACCCUUGGAGAGGCGCGACCAUUGCGUGAGAUGGACUCGUCCCGGCGGUGAGGGCAGCACUGGGAGGAGAACCCAGGUGUUUCGACCUGAGACUUUUGAAAGCUCUGAAGCAGGCGGGUGGCAGAAACUUGAGGCUCCUCUCGGGGUAAGAAAAGGUGGUCCUUAAAGACAGUAGCGAGCCCACCGGAAAGGGAGGGAGAGGAGUUAACCAUUCUGCUUCCUUCAAAGAUCCGCUCUCGCCCCCAUCCAUCCUCUCAUCCGUGGGACCUCCGUGGCAAAACACGACGCAAAACAUACAAAUUUACACAUACCCAGUAUCAGGGUGCCCAGUGUGGGCAGAGUUAAGUCAAGAGGAUAUGCCAGGAAGUGAGGGGCUGGGCCGCAGCCAAGCCAAGGGUGGGCGGGCGUUUAGGCUGAGACAGGAAAGCCGAGUAGAAACCACGUACUGACCAGUGUUCAGUCCAGAAAGAGAACAAGCUUGGCAAGAAAAGGAGGCCAGGAGGAUGGAGAGGAACAAGGGAGGGCGAGAUCCGAGGUGAGAAGUAGGGCUGGGGCCCCAGCAGUCAGGGUUUUGAGGGCAUAGGGAGAAGUUUGCUAUUAUCUAUGAACGUCAAGGAAGGUCACGGAGGGUUUUAAAUGAGGACUGUAGUUACAUUUCAUGCAUAUGGUUUUCCUUUCACUGCCGCACCUGUGCCAUAGGAAAGUUCCCCGAGUUGGGGUUCUAACCAGAGCUGCAGCUGCAGCCUCUGCCACAGCCACGGCAACGCCGGAUCCCAGGGGCCUCUGAGACGUACGCCAGAGCUAGUGGACAACGUAAGAGCUGCAACCCACUGAGCAAGGCCAGGGUGCCAAACCUGCAAACUCACAGGGCAACAGCUGGGUCCUUCACCCACUGAGCGGAGGGGAAUAACUCAUUUUUAUAUUUUCCUUUACAACUUUAAAAGGGCCUCUGGCCAAACAGGACUUUCGGUGGCGCGUAAACUACGCAGGAGCAACAAAAGCCGGUAACUUUCUAGCUGACUUUUUCCCAUUCCGAGCCU
This 1412-nucleotide long non-coding RNA is filed under the name Sus scrofa (pig). RNAcentral's name for it is "lncRNA (ENSSSCG00035032971.1)". Lineage: Eukaryota; Metazoa; Chordata; Mammalia; Artiodactyla; Suidae. The record is from RNAcentral.